This 497-nucleotide ribosomal RNA is filed under the name uncultured bacterium. Its description in RNAcentral is "partial 16S ribosomal RNA". It matches the Rfam family "Bacterial small subunit ribosomal RNA", at positions 28 to 507 of the family's 1533-position model. The record is from RNAcentral.
GAUGAACGCUGGCGGCGUGCCUAAUACAUGCAAGUCGAGCGAACAGACGAGGAGCUUGCUCCUCUGACGUUAGCGGCGGACGGGUGAGUAACACGUGGAUAACCUACCUAUAAGACUGGGAUAACUUCGGGAAACCGGAGCUAAUACCGGAUAAUAUAUUGAACCGCAUGGUUCAAUAGUGAAAGACGGUUUUGCUGUCUCUUAUAGAUGGAUCCGCGCCGCAUUAGCUAGUUGGUAAGGUAACGGCUUACCAAGGCAACGAUGCGUAGCCGACCUGAGAGGGUGAUCGGCCACACGGGAACGGAGACACGGUCCAGACUCCUACGGGAGGCAGCAGUAGGGAAUCUUCCGCAAUGGGCGAAAGCCUGACGGAGCAACGCCGCGUGAGUGAUGAAGGUCUUCGGAUCGUAAAACUCUGUUAUUAGGGAAGAACAAAUGUGUAAGUAACUAUGCACGUCUUGACGGUACCUAAUCAGAAAGCCACGGCUAACUACGUG